GACGGAGAAUGCCCUGGACUUCACUCCGUCCCCCCGUCCCCCCCCACCUGGCUUUUGCCUUCCUGUCCUGACGUGAUCCGGAUGUGAAGCUGUGAUUGGCUGCUCGCUUUUCAUAACUUCCUGAGCAAACAAAAACACCAGGCGCUAAGCUGACGGUGCGGGCAGUAGUAUAUAGUCCAUAAAUGUGCAUUUAACUCUUGCGAGGAAUACUAAGAGGGAGGGGGAGCGACGGCUGCUUUGUGGAAGAACUGAGAAGGCGGCGCAAAGUGAAAACAUGGGCAGUGAGCCACCAUCCUCAGCACACUCAGGCAGAGGUUUACCCAGCGAGACGACGGAGUGCUUCAUAUGCAGGGAGGCUGAACUUCAAGCCCGUGACCCGCUGAGGCAUUUCUGCGACUGCAAGAAUUUACUUGCCCAUCACGUGUGUCUGUCCACGUGGAUCCUGAAGGGAUGCGAGAGCGGAAACCGGCUGCGCUGCAUUAUCUGCAAAGCCAAGGGCUCGCAGACUGCAUCAUUCUUUUUAGGGGGAUCAUUUCUUUCUCUUUCUCCGUUUCUUAUUGAUAUGAUGCCAAAAAUAUGCUCCCAGGGCUAUCAUUUUUCUGCGUCCGUUUGCAAAAGCGGAGGCCUAAGAGGAUUUAUCUUCGUGACCCAUCACACAAAGACAAUGAGCCGCAGAAUAGCGGCGUCCGACUGGGAGGACCGAGAGUGGGCGCACCCAGCCGUCCUCAGGCGUCCCUCUAAAGGCGGCCUCAUGUUACAGUACCAGCUGCAGAGGACCUCUCCAUGGCGCUCGGUGAGCUCCCAGUGGCAGACGUGGCUGAUGCUGAUCACCGGCUUGGCUUUAAUGGGUCUGGUACCUUAUGUAGUUCACUGCAUGAUGACUGCCUUCACCAGGCCUCCUCCGCCCACCACCUUCAAAGUGGCAGCCGCUGCUUAUGGUCUGCUGGCAGAGAUCCUGCUGAUCAAGUGUCUGUGCAGCUACCUCAGCGGCUGUUACCGGCGGGCGGAGCAAAGCGCGUUCACGAUCCGGGCCAGAGGCCCCGAGGAGCACGGGACGAGCCUGGCCUGCUGAAAGCGGUCCGAGGCCUCAGCAGAGGCAGGCCGCGCUUCACCGGAGGGGGAAAGUGGACGAAAGGAAAGAGGGGACGUCUCGGCUUCUUCUGGACCAGUAACCAGGAAACGGGUUGAGAGUAAAUCCUGUGGAUGGUACCCACGGACAACAGCUUCGCCGUGGCAGUCACGAGAUCGAACACUUUAAAACCUAUUUUAGAGGCAAACACAUUCACAUUCCAUCGGUAUGUUUUUCACUUAUUGCAAAUUGACCAAAAAGAAGCUAAUGCAUGCAGCUUGCUCGAGUGUGCUUGAGGGAAAAGGGAAGCAAAACCGCCUGGAAUCACUCUCUUUCCUCAGCGAUGUCCACACAGAGACAAUGGGGCGCCGCUCUGAUUAGUGUCACCUGUCCUUGUGCAUCUCAUCAGCGCCGUAAUGGCUCCAUCUCCCGUGCUUCUGCAGCUAAUUGAAUGGCCUGUGAAGUGGUUUGACGAGGACGGGGCGAGAGCAACGUCUGUCCAGCUGCUACUUCAGAAACGAGUGAAGCUUCCCAGCGAAAGAUUACCGUAGUCCUUAAAACGUGAACCAUUGCCGCGGAGAUGGAGGAGGGGCCGACAAGUAGCCCUCCUGUUGUAGAAGCCUCAUUUUGUCCAUGGGUCACAGUAAUAAAUAAAAGCUUUUAUUUAGCACAUACUGUAUGUUUUUCAUGUGGGGGCAGGGGGUUAUUGUUAGAGUAACGAAAUUCCAGCGGCACAGAAACUCAGGUGGCGGCUUUUGAACACCUGCUGUCUCUCAGACACACGCCGUCGAGAAGGAACAAAAAGGGCUCUCGAUCUCUCGAGGUUCUACAACGAGCAGACAUGCAGGAUCGUAGAUCGGCUCAAUCUGGAACACGCAUGUAUCUUUGUGGGCAACAUCUUGGAGACAGUUUGGACCGAUCACUGUGCCACAUGCAACAUGUUAUUCCCCCUUUGGCUGGAUUAGUGACGCCGGCGAAACGGGUCAGCAGAGCCGCUCGUAGUGAGUGUGGUCUUGUAACGUGAGGCCUGUUGGAGUCUUACAUCGACGGCAUGAAGGGUCACCUCCUUUAUUAAAAGUUCCGUGAUAGAUGAGGCGUGGAAGACCGAAAAAUGGAGAUCAAAAGAGUUCUUCAUGUGGGAGGUAAAAAAGCCUUUUGCACCGUUGACAACGAACAGAGAAAAACCACAAAGAGAAAUAUAUCAUUGUUGUGACAACAGGGUAGAUGAGACCAGCACGGGGAAGCUAACGUGUACUAAUGGUGGUGGGAGGGUUGGGGGGGGGGAGAAUACUCUGUCAGUAACAGAGCGUCCUUUGCUAAUGAGCUAAAUGUUUAUUACAGUCGGUUUGACUCUGUGGGGCCAGUGUGGGCCAGUGUGAAGCCAGAAGAAGGCCACUGGCCCAGACGGACUACAGGCACAUGUCCUUAAAGACCCAAUUAAAAAGAGUCUUUACAAGGUUAUUCCAGUACUUGUUAAAAAGACGCACAGUGCCUAAAAUCAGGGGAUCAUUAUGUCCGUGCCCAUAAAGCCAAACGCGUGUGUACUGAAUGACCAGCUCCGCCCCAAGGAGAGCGUUCUAACUCCCUCUGCGCUGCAGAUGAUACUCUAGAUACGAGCUGUAUUACAUUUGUUCAGCUUCUACCUCUAUGCAGAGAGUCUCCAUCCGUGUAACAAUGUCCGGUCGCACAGGUACUCCUGGCGAUGCCCCCCCCCCCCCCCGCACGCACGAAUGAAUUCAAGGGUUUGUCUUCAGAUAUGCGGAUUUGGGACGUGGCCCAAACACUCCAAAGUAGCAAUUGAAGGUGGUCGAUGAGACUGCAGAUGUGAUCAUUUGGGCCGUUGGGAGUUUGAACGUUUCAGGGGUCUCGGCACGCUUGUGGACUCCCAGUUUCACGGAAAAUACAAAGUAUAUUUUGAAGAAAUCAGAAAACCCUGAUUGAAAACGUUUUAACAUUCCACUCGACUUGACUUGUGUCACCUGCACUGCAGGCUGAUGAACGAGCGAGCAGGACCGGUUGGCGUAGUGAGCGUUAUGAUUGAGAAGCCGAGUGAGCUGUGGACCCUCCGGGAGCGCAGAGAAAGCCCUCAUUUUCUGACAGCGCUUUAUUUUCUCCAGCAACCAAACAUCCCUUUUAAAAGGCCUUUUAUUCCAAGUGCAAUCAGCACUUUAAACAUUUCUUCUAGAUGUUAUUCGUCUGAUGUUCUUGUGUUUUGGUACGUCAGUUUCACUCUGUCAGCUCCCAACACCGUACCUCAUAGAGGUCACCGAUAUGCAGGUUUUUAUUUUGGGCGGUGGGACUAGUUUUGAAGAAUCUCAAUGUCUUUGUGCUUUUGGACUAUUUUCAGUUGUGAAUUAAUAGGCUUUUGGUGUUCUUAUUGAGUAUCAGGGGCAUCAGGAGAGCAUAUGAGGGAUUGACUAAUUACAAUCUGCAGUGCUUUUUUUUAUGGUAAGAAUCCACAUCCACUAGAAGAGUGGAUACAAAGAUAAACACACUAUUUAGGCCUUUUCGUGGGUUUGUUGAGUACAGCAGGCUUGUUAAAGGACACAUAUUCAUACUUUUGGAGAUCAGGGUCAAGACUUUUACCCUUUUCAUUAAAGGUCGACGCCUUCGAUUUCUCCUUGAGCCAAUUGUCCAUUGGAGUGCAAACACAAGCGAUCGGGCCACAUCUUCAAAACCCUUUGGUUAAUGGUCAUGUUUUUACUGCAUGCUUUCGGUUAUUGAGUUGUUCUGUGCAAAAUUAACGCUGAUAAAAAUAUCCUGAUGGAAUCAUCUGACUUCUUUGCCCCCAAGAGACAUAGAAAAGUGUUCUCCUCAAUGCAUAAUGUUAUCCUUCAAUGUACUGCAACAAAUGCUCCUCUAUAAAACAAUUGCAUGUAGAAUUAAAUAAAUGUCAGUAUGGAAAAACGGAGUCUGCCUCUCUAUCUGAUGUUUGCACUGAGUCAUCUUCUAUCUGUGUUUGGUCAAGCGACGGUACAUAAUAUAUUUUUUCCAGAUCUGCAAAAGAGGAAAAAAAAAAAAAGUAUUUUAUUUUGAUUGGAUAAACAUUGCCAGCUGUGAAGCAGGGCUGUAAUGUUGGUACCGCUCCCGCCAGGCAGGAGCUCUGCCGUUUUCUGCCUGUGCCUGAGGCUCAGCUAAUGUAAAAAGAUCCUCCCCACUCUGCC
This is a long non-coding RNA of Gasterosteus aculeatus aculeatus (three-spined stickleback), 4233 nucleotides long. Lineage: Eukaryota; Metazoa; Chordata; Actinopteri; Perciformes; Gasterosteidae. The record is from Ensembl.